UGGGGAAUAUUGGACAAUGGGCGCAAGCCUGAUCCAGCCAUGCCGCGUGAAUGAUGAAGGCCCUAGGGUUGUAAAGCUCUUUCAGCGAGGAGGAUAAUGACGUUACUCGCAGAAGAAGCCCCGGCUAACUUCGUGCCAGCAGCCGCGGUAAUACGAAGGGGGCUAGCGUUGUUCGGAAUCACUGGGCGUAAAGCGCACGUAGGCGGACUUUUAAGUCAGGGGUGAAAUCCCGGGGCUCAACCUCGGAACUGCCUUUGAUACUGGAAGUCUGGAGUCCGAGAGAGGUGAGUGGAACUCCGAGUGUAGAGGUGAAAUUCGUAGAUAUUCGGAAGAACACCAGUGGCGAAGGCGGCUCACUGGCUCGGUACUGACGCUGAGGUGCGAAAGCGUGGGGAGCAAAACAGGAUUAGAUACCUGUAGUCCACGCCGUAAACGAUGGAAGCUAGCCGUCAGGGUGCAUGCAUCUUGGUGGCGCAGUUAACGCAUUAAGCUUCCCGCCUGGGGAGUACGGUCGCAAGAUUAAAACUCAAAGGAAUUGACGGGGUCAUAGCUGUUUCCUG
This 560-nucleotide ribosomal RNA is filed under the name uncultured bacterium. RNAcentral's name for it is "partial 16S ribosomal RNA". It matches the Rfam family "Bacterial small subunit ribosomal RNA", at positions 355 to 1376 of the family's 1533-position model. The record is from RNAcentral.